RNAcentral lists this ribosomal RNA (469 nucleotides) under uncultured bacterium. Its description in RNAcentral is "partial 16S ribosomal RNA". It matches the Rfam family "Bacterial small subunit ribosomal RNA", at positions 355 to 841 of the family's 1533-position model. The record is from RNAcentral.
UGGGGAAUAUUGGACAAUGGGGGCAACCCUGAUCCAGCAAUGCCGCGUGUGUGAAGAAGGUCUUCGGAUUGUAAAGCACUUUCGACGGGGACGAUGAUGACGGUACCCGUAGAAGAAGCCCCGGCUAACUUCGUGCCAGCAGCCGCGGUAAUACGAAGGGGGCUAGCGUUGCUCGGAAUGACUGGGCGUAAAGGGCGUGUAGGCGGUUUACACAGUCAGAUGUGAAAUCCCCGGGCUUAACCUGGGAGCUGCAUUUGAUACGUGUAGACUAGAGUGUGAGAGAGGGUUGUGGAAUUCCCAGUGUAGAGGUGAAAUUCGUAGAUAUUGGGAAGAACACCGGUGGCGAAGGCGGCAACCUGGCUCAUGACUGACGCUGAGGCGCGAAAGCGUGGGGAGCAAACAGGAUUAGAUACCCUGGUAGUCCACGCUGUAAACGAUGUGUGCUAGAUGUUGGGUAACUUUGUUAUUC